This 372-nucleotide ribosomal RNA is filed under the name uncultured organism. Its description in RNAcentral is "bacterial SSU rRNA". It matches the Rfam family "Bacterial small subunit ribosomal RNA", at positions 526 to 896 of the family's 1533-position model. The record is from RNAcentral.
CAGAGGGGGCAAGCGUUGUUCGGAAUUACUGGGCGUAAAGGGCGCGUAGGCGGCCUUCUAAGUCGAACGUGAAAUCCCCGGGCUCAACCCGGGAACUGCGUCCGAUACUGGGAGGCUUGAAUCCGGGAGAGGGAUGUGGAAUUCCAGGUGUAGCGGUGAAAUGCGUAGAUAUCUGGAGGAACACCGGUGGCGAAGGCGGCAUCCUGGACCGGUAUUGACGCUGAGGCGCGAAAGCCAGGGGAGCAAACGGGAUUAGAUACCCCGGUAGUCCUGGCCCUAAACGAUGAAUGCUUGGUGUGGCGGGUAUCGAUCCCUGCCGUGCCGAGGCUAACGCAUUAAGCAUUCCGCCUGGGGAGUACGGUCGCAAGGCUG